GGCGAGGGGAGUGAAAAAGAACCUGAAACCGUGUACGUACAAGCAGUGGGAGCACAGAGCAAUCUGUGUGACUGCGUACCUUUUGUAUAAUGGGUCAGCGACUUAUAUUCUGUAGCAAGGUUAACCGAAUAGGGGAGCCGAAGGGAAACCGAGUCUUAACUGGGCGUUAAGUUGCAGGGUAUAGACCCGAAACCCGGUGAUCUAGCCAUGGGCAGGUUGAAGGUUGGGUAACACUAACUGGAGGACCGAACCGACUAAUGUUGAAAAAUUAGCGGAUGACUUGUGGCUGGGGGUGAAAGGCCAAUCAAACCGGGAGAUAGCUGGUUCUCCCCGAAAGCUAUUUAGGUAGCGCCUCGUGAAUUCAUCUCCGGGGGUAGAGCACUGUUUCGGCAAGGGGGUCAUCCCGACUUACCAACCCGAUGCAAACUGCGAAUACCGGAGAAUGUUAUCACGGGAGACACACGGCGGGUGCUAACGUCCGUCGUGAAGAGGGAAACAACCCAGACCGCCAGCUAAGGUCCCAAAGUCAUGGUUAAGUGGGAAACGAUGUGGGAAGGCCCAGACAGCCAGGAUGUUGGCUUAGAAGCAGCCAUCAUUUAAAGAAAGCGUAAUAGCUCACUGGUCGAGUCGGCCUGCGCGGAAGAUGUAACGGGGCUAAACCAUGCACCGAAGCUGCGGCAGCGACGCUUAUGCGUUGUUGGGUAGGGGAGCGUUCUGUAAGCCUGUGAAGGUGUACUGUGAGGUAUGCUGGAGGUAUCAGAAGUGCGAAUGCUGACAUAAGUAACGAUAAAGCGGGUGAAAAGCCCGCUCGCCGGAAGACCAAGGGUUCCUGUCCAACGUUAAUCGGGGCAGGGUGAGUCGACCCCUAAGGCGAGGCCGAAAGGCGUAGUCGAUGGGAAACAGGUUAAUAUUCCUGUACUUGGUGUUACUGCGAAGGGGGGACGGAGAAGGCUAUGUUGGCCGGGCGACGGUUGUCCCGGUUUAAGCGUGUAGGCUGGUUUUCCAGGCAAAUCCGGAAAAUCAAGGCUGAGGCGUGAUGACGAGGCACUACGGUGCUGAAGCAACAAAUGCCCUGCUUCCAGGAAAAGCCUCUAAGCAUCAGGUAACAUCAAAUCGUACCCCAAACCGACACAGGUGGUCAGGUAGAGAAUACCAAGGCGCUUGAGAGAACUCGGGUGAAGGAACUAGGCAAAAUGGUGCCGUAACUUCGGGAGAAGGCACGCUGAUAUGUAGGUGAAGUCCCUCGCGGAUGGAGCUGAAAUCAGUCGAAGAUACCAGCUGGCUGCAACUGUUUAUUAAAAACACAGCACUGUGCAAACACGAAAGUGGACGUAUACGGUGUGACGCCUGCCCGGUGCCGGAAGGUUAAUUGAUGGGGUCAGCGCAAGCGAAGCUCUUGAUCGAAGCCCCGGUAAACGGCGGCCGUAACUAUAACGGUCCUAAGGUAGCGAAAUUCCUUGUCGGGUAAGUUCCGACCUGCACGAAUGGCGUAAUGAUGGCCAGGCUGUCUCCACCCGAGACUCAGUGAAAUUGAACUCGCUGUGAAGAUGCAGUGUACCCGCGGCAAGACGGAAAGACCCCGUGAACCUUUACUAUAGCUUGACACUGAACAUUGAGCCUUGAUGUGUAGGAUAGGUGGGAGGCUUUGAAGUGUGGACGCCAGUCUGCAUGGAGCCGACCUUGAAAUACCACCCUUUAAUGUUUGAUGUUCUAACGUGGACCCGUGAUCCGGGUUGCGGACAGUGUCUGGUGGGUAGUUUGACUGGGGCGGUCUCCUCCUAAAGAGUAACGGAGGAGCACGAAGGUUGGCUAAUCCUGGUCGGACAUCAGGAGGUUAGUGCAAUGGCAUAAGCCAGCUUGACUGCGAGCGUGACGGCGCGAGCAGGUGCGAAAGCAGGUCAUAGUGAUCCGGUGGUUCUGAAUGGAAGGGCCAUCGCUCAACGGAUAAAAGGUACUCCGGGGAUAACAGGCUGAUACCGCCCAAGAGUUCAUAUCGACGGCGGUGUUUGGCACCUCGAUGUCGGCUCAUCACAUCCUGGGGCUGAAGUAGGUCCCAAGGGUAUGGCUGUUCGCCAUUUAAAGUGGUACGCGAGCUGGGUUUAGAACGUCGUGAGACAGUUCGGUCCCUAUCUGCCGUGGGCGCUGGAGAACUGAGGGGGGCUGCUCCUAGUACGAGAGGACCGGAGUGGACGCAUCACUGGUGUUCGGGUUGUCAUGCCAAUGGCACUGCCCGGUAGCUAAAUGCGGAAGAGAUAAGUGCUGAAAGCAUCUAAGCACGAAACUUGCC
RNAcentral lists this ribosomal RNA (2287 nucleotides) under Escherichia coli. RNAcentral describes it as "partial 23S ribosomal RNA". It matches the Rfam family "Bacterial large subunit ribosomal RNA", at positions 528 to 2798 of the family's 2925-position model. The record is from RNAcentral. Lineage: Bacteria; Pseudomonadati; Pseudomonadota; Gammaproteobacteria; Enterobacterales; Enterobacteriaceae.